Molecule: ribosomal RNA, 794 nt
Filed under: uncultured bacterium
Lineage: Bacteria
Description: bacterial SSU rRNA
Rfam family: Bacterial small subunit ribosomal RNA
Source: RNAcentral
AGAGUUUGAUCAUGGCUCAGAUUGAACGCUGGCGGCAGGCUUAACACAUGCAAGUCGAGCGGAGAUGAGGUGCUUGCACCUUAUCUUAGCGGCGGACGGGUGAGUAAUGCUUAGGAAUCUGCCUAUUAGUGGGGGACAACAUUCCGAAAGGAAUGCUAAUACCGCAUACGUCCUACGGGAGAAAGCAGGGGAUCUUCGGACCUUGCGCUAAUAGAUGAGCCUAAGUCGGAUUAGCUAGUUGGUGGGGUAAAGGCCUACCAAGGCGACGAUCUGUAGCGGGUCUGAGAGGAUGAUCCGCCACACUGGGACUGAGACACGGCCCAGACUCCUACGGGAGGCAGCAGUGGGGAAUAUUGGACAAUGGGGGGAACCCUGAUCCAGCCAUGCCGCGUGUGUGAAGAAGGCCUUAUGGUUGUAAAGCACUUUAAGCGAGGAGGAGGCUACUGAGACUAAUACUCUUGGAUAGUGGACGUUACUCGCAGAAUAAGCACCGGCUAACUCUGUGCCAGCAGCCGCGGUAAUACAGAGGGUGCGAGCGUUAAUCGGAUUUACUGGGCGUAAAGCGUGCGUAGGCGGCUUUUUAAGUCGGAUGUGAAAUCCCCGAGCUUAACUUGGGAAUUGCAUUCGAUACUGGGAAGCUAGAGUAUGGGAGAGGAUGGUAGAAUUCCAGGUGUAGCGGUGAAAUGCGUAGAGAUCUGGAGGAAUACCGAUGGCGAAGGCAGCCAUCUGGCCUAAUACUGACGCUGAGGUACGAAAGCAUGGGGAGCAAACAGGAUUAGAUACCCUGGUAGUCC